AUUGAUCAUCCCUUAGGCCUAAUAGAAAAAAACAUACCUUUACUUGUUUUAGGCUUUACCUCAAAGGAAAAUAUUGUUUUGUAAAAAUUUACUCAUUAAAAUUUUAUGAAAACAUUUUAUGUUCAUAUAUUAGUUCCACUACAUCUUUUAGGAGUGAUCUGGAAAUUAUGAUUUGUACAUAUUGAAAUCUUUAUCAUACAUAUCAGGUCAACCUUCUCAUUUAUAUUGGCAGAAUAUAUAAUUACUGUUAUAACUGACGAAUAAUUUAGGAACUGUUGAAAAUGCAUGGAGAAAUUUGUUCGGCAAGGUACAGACAUUAAGCUUAGCAUCAGAAAACCUCUGGAUUCCUGGAACUGUUUAUCAUAUGCACAUUAUCAACAUGAUCAAAUCAGAAAGAAUGUGAAGACAUGAAUGGAGAUUGUCAUGGUGAUCAAGAGACCUUACCAUAUCAGAUAAAAGAUAAGGUUUACAACUGCAAAUGUAAUAUCAGUUUUGCGGACAAGACAAUUAGCUACACUGAGUGUAGGCCUAUGUCCUAAUCAUGAUAAUACCAAUACAGCAGGACAAUUAUGUUUCAGAAAAUAAAACCUGCUGCAAAAUAAUGA
Molecule: long non-coding RNA, 605 nt
Organism: Mytilus trossulus (common blue mussel)
Lineage: Eukaryota; Metazoa; Mollusca; Bivalvia; Mytilida; Mytilidae
Exons: 2
Source: RefSeq, a predicted model, not a curated record